GUAAGGAAUAUUGGACAAUGGGGGGAACCCUGAUCCAGCCAUGCCGCGUGUGUGAAGAAGGCCUUUUGGUUGUAAAGCACUUUAAGCGAGGAGGAGGCUACCGAGAUUAAUACUCUUGGAUAGUGGACGUUACUCGCAGAAUAAGCACCGGCUAACUCUGUGCCAGCAGCCGCGGUAAUACAGAGGGUGCAAGCGUUAAUCGGAUUUACUGGGCGUAAAGCGCGCGUAGGUGGCCAAUUAAGUCAAAUGUGAAAUCCCCGAGCUUAACUUGGGAAUUGCAUUCGAUACUGGUUGGCUAGAGUAUGGGAGAGGAUGGUAGAAUUCCAGGUGUAGCGGUGAAAUGCGUAGAGAUCUGGAGGAAUACCGAUGGCGAAGGCAGCCAUCUGGCCUAAUACUGACACUGAGGUGCGAAAGCAUGGGGAGCAAACAGGAUUAGAAACCCUUGUAGUCC
RNAcentral lists this ribosomal RNA (451 nucleotides) under uncultured bacterium. RNAcentral describes it as "partial 16S ribosomal RNA". It matches the Rfam family "Bacterial small subunit ribosomal RNA", at positions 354 to 796 of the family's 1533-position model. The record is from RNAcentral.